RNAcentral lists this ribosomal RNA (402 nucleotides) under uncultured bacterium. Its description in RNAcentral is "bacterial SSU rRNA". It matches the Rfam family "Bacterial small subunit ribosomal RNA", at positions 355 to 774 of the family's 1533-position model. The record is from RNAcentral.
UCGGGAAUUUUGGGCAAUGGGCGAAAGCCUGACCCAGCAACGCCGCGUGAGGGAUGAAGUAUUUCGGUAUGUAAACCUCGAAAGAAUGGGAAGAAUAAAUGACGGUACCAUUUAUAAGCUCCGGCUAACUACGUGCCAGCAGCCGCGGUAAUACGUAGGGAGCAAGCGUUGUUCGGAUUUACUGGGCGUAAAGGGCGCGUAGGCGGCGCGGUAAGUCACUUGUGAAAUCUCUGAGCUUAACUCAGAACGGCCAAGUGAUACUGCUGGGCUAGAGUGCGGAAGAGGCAACCGGAAUUCUUGGUGUAGCGGUGAAAUGCGUAGAUAUCAAGAGGAACACCGGCGGUGUAGACGGCUUGCUAGACCAUAACUGACGCUGAGGCACGAAAGCGUGGGUAGCAAACA